CAGUAACGGCGAGUGAAGCGGCAACAGCUCAAAUUUGAAAUCUGGCCCCCCGGCCCGAGUUGUAAUUUGCAGAGGAUGCUUUUGGUGAGGCACCUACCGAGUCCCCUGGAAUGGGGCGCCGCAGAGGGUGAGAGCCCCGUAUGGUAGGACGCCGAGCCUCUGUAAAGCUCCUUCGACGAGUCGAGUAGUUUGGGAAUGCUGCUCUAAAUGGGAGGUAAAUUUCUUCUAAAGCUAAAUACCGGCCAGAGACCGAUAGCGCACAAGUAGAGUGAUCGAAAGAUGAAAAGCACUUUGAAAAGAGGGUUAAAAAGUACGUGAAAUUGUUGAAAGGGAAGCGCUUGUGACCAGACUUGCGCCGGGCGGAUCAUCCAGCGUUCUCGCUGGUGCACUCCGCCCGGCUCAGGCCAGCAUCGGUUUCCGCCGGGGGACAAAGGCUUCGGGAACGUGGCUCUCUUCGGGGAGUGUUAUAGCCCGUCGCGUAAUACCCCGGCGGGGACCGACGACCGCGCUUCGGCAAGGAUGCUGGCGUAAUGGUCAUCAGCGACCCGUCUUGAAACACGGACCGAGGAGUCAAGCAUUAGUGCGAGUGUUUGGGUGUAAAACCCGCACGCGUAAUGAAAGUGAACGUAGGUGAGAGCUUCGGCGCAUCAUCGACCGAUCCUGAUGUUUUCGGAAGGAUUUGAGUAGGAGCAUUAACGCUUGGACCCGAAAGAUGGUGAACUAUACUUGAAUAGGGUGAAGCCAGAGGAAACUCUGGUGGAGGCUCGCAGCGGUUCUGACGUGCAAAUCGAUCGUCAAAUUUGAGUAUAGG
This 811-nucleotide ribosomal RNA is filed under the name Pyriculariomyces asari. Its description in RNAcentral is "LSU rRNA". It matches the Rfam family "Eukaryotic large subunit ribosomal RNA", at positions 81 to 921 of the family's 3401-position model. Lineage: Eukaryota; Fungi; Ascomycota; Sordariomycetes; Magnaporthales; Pyriculariaceae. The record is from RNAcentral.